This 239-nucleotide ribosomal RNA is filed under the name uncultured Glomeromycotina. Its description in RNAcentral is "partial 18S rRNA". It matches the Rfam family "Eukaryotic small subunit ribosomal RNA", at positions 548 to 785 of the family's 1831-position model. Lineage: Eukaryota; Fungi; Glomeromycota. The record is from RNAcentral.
UUGGAGGGCAAGUCUGGUGCCAGCAGUCGCGGUAAUUCCAGCUCCAAUAGCGUAUAUUAAAGUUGUUGCAGUUAAAAAGCUCGUAGUUGAAUUUCGGGAUUGACGUGACGGUCAUGCCUUAAGGGGUAUGAACUGUUACUGUUGAUUUCUCACCUUCUGGAGAAACUUGAUGUCCUUUAUUGGGUGUCUUGCGGAUCCAGGACCUUUGCCUUGAAAAAAUUAGAGUGUUUAAAGCAGGC